Molecule: long non-coding RNA, 95 nt
Organism: Alosa sapidissima (American shad)
Lineage: Eukaryota; Metazoa; Chordata; Actinopteri; Clupeiformes; Clupeidae
Exons: 3
Source: RefSeq, a predicted model, not a curated record
CUCUGUGUGUGUAGAUUUUGCUCACUGAGCCUGUACUUGGUCAGGAUGUGCCUCUGCUUCGUAUCUCUGACAGAGAUGAGAUAUUCAGCCAAUUC